AGCAGCCGCCGCGGUAAUACGAAGGGUGCAAGCGUUACUCGGAAUUACUGGGCGUAAAGGGUGCGUAGGUGGUUUUUUAAGUCCAUUGUGAAAUCCCUGGGCUCAACCUGGGAAUGGCAGUGGAUACUGGAAAGCUAGAGUGCGGUAGAGGGUAGUGGAAUUCCCGGUGUAGCAGUGAAAUGCGUAGAGAUCGGGAGGAACACCAGUGGCGAAGGCGGCUACCUGGACCAGCACUGACACUGAAGCACGAAAGCGUGGGGAGCAAACAGGAUUAGAUACCCGUGUAGUCCCUGUCUCUUAUAA
This 303-nucleotide ribosomal RNA is filed under the name uncultured bacterium. RNAcentral describes it as "partial 16S ribosomal RNA". It matches the Rfam family "Bacterial small subunit ribosomal RNA", at positions 507 to 809 of the family's 1533-position model. The record is from RNAcentral.